UGGGGAAUAUUGCACAAUGGGGGGAACCCUGAUGCAGCGACGCCGCGUGAAGGAAGAAGUAUUUCGGUAUGUAAACUUCUAUCAGCAGGGAAGAAAAUGACGGUACCUGACUAAGAAGCCCCGGCUAACUACGUGCC
RNAcentral lists this ribosomal RNA (137 nucleotides) under uncultured bacterium. Its description in RNAcentral is "partial 16S ribosomal RNA". It matches the Rfam family "Bacterial small subunit ribosomal RNA", at positions 355 to 509 of the family's 1533-position model. The record is from RNAcentral.